GAUGAACGCUGGCGGCGUGCCUAAUACAUGCAAGUCGAGCGAACAGACGAGGAGCUUGCUCCUCUGACGUUAGCGGCGGACGGGUGAGUCACACGUGUAUACCCUACCUAUCAGACUGGGAUAACUUCGGGAAACCGGAGCUAAUCCCGGAUAAUAUCUUGAACCGCAUGGUUCAAUAGUAAAAGACGGUUUUUGUGUCGCUUGUCGAUGGAUCCGCGCCUCAUUAGCUGGUUGGUAGGGUAGGGGCUUACCAAGGCUAGGACGCGUAGCCGGCCUGAGAGGGUGACCGGCCUCAUGGGGAAUGAGAUACGGUGCAGACUCCUACGGGAGGCAGAAGUGGGGAAUAUUGCACAAUGGGCGGAAGUCUGAUGCAGCAACGCCGCGUGCGGGAUGACGGCCUUCGGGGUGUAAACCGCUUUCGCAUGUGACGAAGCGUGAGUGACGGUAAUGGGUAAAGAAGCACCGGCUAACUACGUG
RNAcentral lists this ribosomal RNA (477 nucleotides) under uncultured bacterium. RNAcentral's name for it is "partial 16S ribosomal RNA". It matches the Rfam family "Bacterial small subunit ribosomal RNA", at positions 28 to 507 of the family's 1533-position model. The record is from RNAcentral.